Molecule: long non-coding RNA, 1500 nt
Organism: Balaenoptera musculus (blue whale)
Lineage: Eukaryota; Metazoa; Chordata; Mammalia; Artiodactyla; Balaenopteridae
Exons: 3
Source: RefSeq, a predicted model, not a curated record
CGCGGGCCUCCGAACCCGCCGGCGGGGCCGCGCCGGGGGUUGCGCUCGAGAGAGGCUGGGAGAGGCCCCGGGGGCUGCACCCCCCCUGUCGGCUGCCGCAGCCGAGGGCAUCAACUCCUCAUCCCCACGCGCGCUCACAGGCCCCGGAGCCGAGCGAGAGCUACCCUGGGGCCCGUGCCUCCCCUUUCUCCCCUUCCCAACCCCACCCCAAGGAGUGCAGACCCCGCUGGAGGGUGCAGCCCAGGGCCGCUGAGCGCCAACACCCUGCGCCACUUCGAGCAAGUCACGUCGCCUCCCAGAACCUCGGUGCCCUCUUCUGCCAAGUGGCGGUGAUGAGAGGGAGCUUGCGGGGUCGUGAAAGGUAUUCAAGGCGACGAGAGAAGGAAACUAAGGCGAAAUGACUUCCCUAGCUGAAACAAAUACUGCAAAAAGCUCAGCCCUCAAGGAUAGGGCUGGCAUUAAGGAGACACCCACAGCAAAGGUUAAACAACGAUAAAAUGUUAAUUAUUCAAGACUGCUGGAAGAGCUAUUAAAGGCCACAGGAAGACCUUGGACAGCAGUGAACAGAGGUGUGAUGUGACCUUGGAGGGAGUUUCAAAGCAAUCUGCGAUGGAAUAUGCUCUUCCCUGUCCUUUGUCCCUCAAAGUCAUCAUCCACCAAAGCCUGAAGACUCCACAUCUCAUCCCCCUGCCCAUCCCACCCCUGAGUCCAAGAGGACUAGACUCCCUUGCGUAGACCCCUCCCCCCGGCACCUGCCUAGCCCCUGCCAUCUCCAAGCCAUGCCCCCCACUCCUUCUCGCCAGCACUGCAGAGUCAUCCUCUCUGGAUGUUGCUAUUGCUUCUGGGCCUUCCUGGUUCCCAGUGGCUCCCUGCUGCCACCUCAUCAGGCCCAGACAGCUCUGCUGGGCUUCCCACCCCUCAUGCCUGGGCCCCACCCAGCUGACCUCAGGGCCCACUGUCUCACCACUCUCUGAGUUCAAGUUCAUUCCUUCCCAGGGGCAGCAUCACGUGGCACACCAUCCCCAACCUUUGCCCUGAGCCUCAGGUCCUACCAGUGUACUUUCUGGGCUGCCUCCUCCAGGAAGUCCUCUGGACUAUCAGGCCCUCGCUCCCCAAACCCACAUGCUCUUAACCCAACAAUCCAGGCUUCAUAAUCUGCUACUUUUGCUGUUGAUUGACUACUCCACGUGUGUCCUCUUCUUCUCCACACUAUUCUAGUGGGAAGGACCCAGAUGGUACAGUCAGACAGCACUGGAUGGGAAUUCUGGCUUCUGCUACUACGAAUGACCUUGGACAAGUUACAGAACCUUCUGAAUCUCUUUCCUCACCUGUGAAAUGGGAUAAUGAUACCUAUUUCCUAGAGUUGUGAGAAUUAAAUGAGAUGAUGCAAUUAAAGUGCCUCCUAGAGACUAAUAUACAAUAGGUCUAAACCUAUGGUAGUUUAUUCUUUUCCUUCGAGCUCCUAGUGUACUGCUGAACAUACAGUAGGUCCUCAAUAAA